RNAcentral lists this long non-coding RNA (235 nucleotides) under Ananas comosus (pineapple). Its description in RNAcentral is "long non-coding RNA (ACOM_LNC018824)". The record is from RNAcentral. Lineage: Eukaryota; Viridiplantae; Streptophyta; Magnoliopsida; Poales; Bromeliaceae.
AUCUACAACGUCCAAUAUAAGCUUCACAGAUUCAUCUGCCCGCUAAUAAAUACUUAGAUUACUAAGAGUCUGUUUGGUAUUGAGACAUGUCUAAUGUUAAUAGAUAAAAUGUAGUUAAGGAAAGUAUAUAUGAAAGUGCUUUUGUGUUUUAUCGAAAAUAUAUUAUAAUCAACUCAUUGUGAUAUGUAAGUACGAUGUUACAUAGAAAAUAAACAAAAUAUUUGUCAUCUCCUUC